RNAcentral lists this signal recognition particle RNA (93 nucleotides) under SAR116 cluster bacterium. Its description in RNAcentral is "signal recognition particle sRNA small type". It matches the Rfam family "Bacterial small signal recognition particle RNA". From Rfam's summary of the family: The signal recognition particle (SRP) is a universally conserved ribonucleoprotein involved in the co-translational targeting of proteins to membranes. Archaeal SRP consists of a 7S RNA and homologues of the eukaryotic SRP19 and SRP54 proteins. In most bacteria, the SRP consists of a 4.5S RNA and the Ffh protein (a homologue of the eukaryotic SRP54 protein). Lineage: Bacteria; Pseudomonadati; Pseudomonadota; Alphaproteobacteria; Puniceispirillales (SeqCode). The record is from RNAcentral.
AGAAGAAUUUCGUGGACGUGACUCUUGCUAACCCGGUCAGAUUCGAAAGAAAGCAGCCGUAACAAUGAUAUCGGGUCACGAAAUUCUUCGUAA